RNAcentral lists this ribosomal RNA (468 nucleotides) under uncultured bacterium. RNAcentral describes it as "partial 16S ribosomal RNA". It matches the Rfam family "Bacterial small subunit ribosomal RNA", at positions 28 to 507 of the family's 1533-position model. The record is from RNAcentral.
GACGAACGCUGGCGGCGUGCCUAACACAUGCAAGUCGAACGGAAAGGCCCUGCUCUUGCGGGGUGCUCGAGUGGCGAACGGGUGAGUAACACGCGAGUAACCUGCACUUGACUUUGGGAUAAAUCCAGGAAACUGGGGCUAAUAUCGGAUAGGAGCUAUUGAUGCACGGUGGGGGUUGGAAAGAUUCGGCGGUUGGGGCUGGACUCGCGGCUUAUCAGCUUGUUGGUGGGGUAGUGGCGUACGAAGGCUUUGACGGGUAGCCGGCCUGAGAGGGUGGCCGGGCACAUUAGGCCUAAGGGACGGCCCAGACGCCUACUGGAGGCAACAGUGGGGAAUAUUACGCAGUGGGGCGAAGCCUGAUGCAGCGGCGCCGCGUGCGUGAUGACGGCCUUCGAGUUGUGAACAGCUUUCGCCUGUGACGAAGCGGGAGUGACAGUAAUGAGUAAGGAAGCACCGGCUAACUACGUG